GACGAACGCUGGCGGCGUGCCUAAUACAUGCAAGUCGAACGAACCGCGACUAGGUGCUUGCACUUGGUCAAGGUGAGUGGCGAACGGGUGAGUAACACGUGGGUAACCUACCUCAUAGUGGGGGAUAACAGUCGGAAACGACUGCUAAUACCGCAUAGGACAUAGGAUCACAUGAUCCAGUGAGGAAAGGUGGCGCAAGCUAUCGCUAAGAGAUGGACCCGCGGUGCAUUAGCUAGUUUGUAGGGUAAAGGCCUACCAAGGCGAUGAUGCAUAGCCGACCUGAGAGGGUGAUCGGCCACAUGGGGACUGAGACAGGGCCCAAACUCCUACGGGAGGCAGCAGUAGGGAAUCUUCCGCAAUGGACGAAGGUCUGACGGAGCAACGCCGCGUGAGUGAAGAAGGUCUUCGGAUCGUAAAGCUCUGUUGUUAGAGAAGAACAGCGCAUAGAGUAACUGUUAUGCGUGUGACGGUAUCUAACCAGAAAGCCACGGCUAACUACGUG
RNAcentral lists this ribosomal RNA (502 nucleotides) under uncultured bacterium. RNAcentral's name for it is "partial 16S ribosomal RNA". It matches the Rfam family "Bacterial small subunit ribosomal RNA", at positions 28 to 507 of the family's 1533-position model. The record is from RNAcentral.